RNAcentral lists this ribosomal RNA (496 nucleotides) under uncultured bacterium. RNAcentral's name for it is "partial 16S ribosomal RNA". It matches the Rfam family "Bacterial small subunit ribosomal RNA", at positions 28 to 506 of the family's 1533-position model. The record is from RNAcentral.
GAUGAACGCUGGCGGCGUGCCUAAUACAUGCAAGUCGAGCGAACAGACGAGGAGCUUGCUCCUCUGACGUUAGCGGCGGACGGGUGAGUAACACGUGGAUAACCUACCUAUAAGACUGGGAUAACUUCGGGAAACCGGAGCUAAUACCGGAUAAUAUAUUGAACCGCAUGGUUCAAUAGUGAAAGACGGUUUUGCUGUAACUUAUAGAUGGAUCCGCGCCGCAUUAGCUAGUUGGUAAGGUAACGGCUUACCAAGGCAACGAUGCGUAGCCGACCUGAGAGGGUGAUCGGCCACACUGGAACUGACACACGGUCCAGACUCCGACGGGAGGCAGCAGUAGGUAAGCUUCCGCAAUGGGCGAAAGCCUGACGGAGCGACGCCGCGUGAGUGAUGAAGGUCUUCGGAUCGUAAAACGCUGUUAUGAGGGAAGGACAAAUGUGUAAGUAACUAUGCACGUCUUGACGGUACCUAAUCAGAAAGCCACGGCUAACUACGU